RNAcentral lists this ribosomal RNA (496 nucleotides) under uncultured bacterium. RNAcentral describes it as "partial 16S ribosomal RNA". It matches the Rfam family "Bacterial small subunit ribosomal RNA", at positions 29 to 507 of the family's 1533-position model. The record is from RNAcentral.
AUGAACGCUGGCGGCGUGCCUAAUCCCUGCAAGUCGAGCGAACAGAUGAGGAGCUUGCUCCUCUGACGUUAGCGGCGGACGGGAGAGUAACACGUGGAUAACCUACCUAUAAGACUGGGAUAACUUCGGGAAACCGGAGCUAAUACCGGAUAAUAUAUUGAACCGCAUGGUUCCAUAGUGAAAGACGGUUUUGCUGUCACUUAUAGAUGGAUCCGCGCCGCAUUAGCUAGUUGGUAAGGUAACGGCUUACCAAGGCAACGAUGCGUAGCCGACCUGAGAGGGUGAUCGGCCACACUGGAACUGAGACACGGUCCAGACUCCUACGGGAGGCAGCAGUAGGGAAUCUUCCGCAAUGGGCGAAAGCCUGACGGAGCAACGCCGCGUGAGUGAUGAAGGUCUUCGGAUCGUAAAACUCUGUUAUUAGGGAAGAACAAAUGUGUAAGUAACUAUGCACGUCUUGACGGUACCUAAUCAGAAAGCCACGGCUAACUACGUG